Molecule: long non-coding RNA, 1465 nt
Organism: Ictalurus punctatus (channel catfish)
Lineage: Eukaryota; Metazoa; Chordata; Actinopteri; Siluriformes; Ictaluridae
Source: Ensembl
UAGGGUCAAUUUAGUGUAAUAUACCGAAAUAUACUGUUGAGUAAAAUGCUGUACGAUGAGGUACAUGUGAGGUGGUCAUGGAAGAGUCAGUUGGUUGAGCAUGUGCUGGGUAAGUGGAGGGGGUUUUUGGUGGCACGUACUACAGCUUCAUGUUCUUCAGGACUGGCAACUCCAGAAGCAUACGAUACUUAAUUGAAGUGUCCUGAGCUAAGGUCUGCUCUUUCCUGUCCAAAGAUUUAUAGUAAUUAACAUAGGAAAGGCAAACAGUGGUUGGGCAUAAGCACUUUGCGUCACACUGGUUUUCCAGUCCAGGGGGGCCACACGGAUACCUACAUAUUUAUUACUUAAGUGUGUGUGUGUGUGUGGAUAUGUUUUUUUAUAUAUAUAUCUCCAUGACGUUUCAGUAAAAUUAGCCUAAAACUCCCAUCCAAGGCAUACCCAAAGUAUGCUGUUCUUGAACCAUUUGGAGUACAUGCAUGGUUUUGGUCUCUUUUGAAAAGGGACACAGAAAUCAGAACCACUGGAAGUGCUACUGGUAUUGAGUAACAGAAGUUUGAACACACUGACACGGAAGGGUUUUUUUCUGCCUGAUUUUUUUAUUUAUUUAUUUAUUUAUUUUUUUGCAUGCAGAUGACUACAGCUGGGAGCUAUUAGCUUGAAAACACAAUUGGACCUCAGCAUGAUGCCUUUCCUAGUCCAAGUUCAAAUUUGAUAAUAGUACCAAAUAAAAUUGAUAUUUUACACGUUUUUUCUAAGGGUAUGUCCUUUUUAUUUUUUUUAUUUUUAUUUUUUACCAAAACCUUUUGGAGACUCCAAAACUCCCUUGGUAACUAUGUACACAUAACUAGGAUAAAAAGGCUGCUACUCUUGAUUUUUCUUAUAAUGAACAUAUCACACAUCCAGCAAUCAGUGGCUACAAGAUCUACAAGUCAUCUCCACAACUGCCAUUAUACAGCUCACACUAUUCACUUAGGAAAGGGGGAAGGAGCAUCUCUUCAGCACAGACUCUCAUUAGAUUUUGAAGCCUAUAGACAGGACAUGGAAGCUCCUAUUGGUUCACCUGAGGUAUCACAGCCUGGGGGCCAUUUUUUGAGAUCUAGCAAUUAGGUGUGUUCAGUCGCAUGCUGAUGAGUUAAGGAGAACAGCGUGGUCUUCUGAGAUCAUUUGGACCGAUGCAGCAGCAGUUCAUGCAGACUUACUGAUAUAAAAUGUGUUUUUGACUAAAUAUUUUAACAUAAUUGGAUUGUUUGGACCUUUGCUAGUGUCACGACCAUUUUUGUUGGGAUGUUUUGGAUCAGUGGACUGCUAUGUGGCUUCAAAGGUGAGUUGCCCCCAUUUGGGAUUUGUUUGUUUGUAUGCUGGUGGUCUGACAAAGACAUUGAUUUUAAAUGGUUUACAUCAAUUGAAUCAGAAGAUUCUUAGCUUUCCAACGGUAUAUUGCAUGAGUACAUACGUACUACACACA